This 1433-nucleotide ribosomal RNA is filed under the name Klebsiella pneumoniae. RNAcentral describes it as "bacterial SSU rRNA". It matches the Rfam family "Bacterial small subunit ribosomal RNA". The record is from RNAcentral. Lineage: Bacteria; Pseudomonadati; Pseudomonadota; Gammaproteobacteria; Enterobacterales; Enterobacteriaceae.
CAUGCAGUCGAGCGGUAGCACAGAGAGCUUGCUCUCGGGUGACGAGCGGCGGACGGGUGAGUAAUGUCUGGGAAACUGCCUGAUGGAGGGGGAUAACUACUGGAAACGGUAGCUAAUACCGCAUAAUGUCGCAAGACCAAAGUGGGGGACCUUCGGGCCUCAUGCCAUCAGAUGUGCCCAGAUGGGAUUAGCUAGUAGGUGGGGUAACGGCUCACCUAGGCGACGAUCCCUAGCUGGUCUGAGAGGAUGACCAGCCACACUGGAACUGAGACACGGUCCAGACUCCUACGGGAGGCAGCAGUGGGGAAUAUUGCACAAUGGGCGCAAGCCUGAUGCAGCCAUGCCGCGUGUGUGAAGAAGGCCUUCGGGUUGUAAAGCACUUUCAGCGGGGAGGAAGGCGUUGAGGUUAAUAACCUUGUCGAUUGACGUUACCCGCAGAAGAAGCACCGGCUAACUCCGUGCCAGCAGCCGCGGUAAUACGGAGGGUGCAAGCGUUAAUCGGAAUUACUGGGCGUAAAGCGCACGCAGGCGGUCUGUCAAGUCGGAUGUGAAAUCCCCGGGCUCAACCUGGGAACUGCAUUCGAAACUGGCAGGCUAGAGUCUUGUAGAGGGGGGUAGAAUUCCAGGUGUAGCGGUGAAAUGCGUAGAGAUCUGGAGGAAUACCGGUGGCGAAGGCGGCCCCCUGGACAAAGACUGACGCUCACGUGCGAAAGCGUGGGGAGCAAACAGGAUUAGAUACCCUGGUAGUCCACGCCGUAAACGAUGUCGAUUUGGAGGUUGUGCCCUUGAGGCGUGGCUUCCGGAGCUAACGCGUUAAAUCGACCGCCUGGGGAGUACGGCCGCAAGGUUAAAACUCAAAUGAAUUGACGGGGGCCCGCACAAGCGGUGGAGCAUGUGGUUUAAUUCGAUGCAACGCGAAGAACCUUACCUGGUCUUGACAUCCACAGAACUUUCCAGAGAUGGAUUGGUGCCUUCGGGAACUGUGAGACAGGUGCUGCAUGGCUGUCGUCAGCUCGUGUUGUGAAAUGUUGGGUUAAGUCCCGCAACGAGCGCAACCCUUAUCCUUUGUUGCCAGCGGUCCGGCCGGGAACUCAAAGGAGACUGCCAGUGAUAAACUGGAGGAAGGUGGGGAUGACGUCAAGUCAUCAUGGCCCUUACGACCAGGGCUACACACGUGCUACAAUGGCAUAUACAAAGAGAAGCGACCUCGCGAGAGCAAGCGGACCUCAUAAAGUAUGUCGUAGUCCGGAUUGGAGUCUGCAACUCGACUCCAUGAAGUCGGAAUCGCUAGUAAUCGUAGAUCAGAAUGCUACGGUGAAUACGUUCCCGGGCCUUGUACACACCGCCCGUCACACCAUGGGAGUGGGUUGCAAAAGAAGUAGGUAGCUUAACCUUCGGGAGGGCGCUUACCACUUUGUGAUUCAUGACUGGGG